RNAcentral lists this ribosomal RNA (253 nucleotides) under uncultured bacterium. RNAcentral's name for it is "partial 16S ribosomal RNA". It matches the Rfam family "Bacterial small subunit ribosomal RNA", at positions 524 to 776 of the family's 1533-position model. The record is from RNAcentral.
UACGUAGGUGACAAGCGUUGUCCGGAUUUACUGGGCGUAAAGAGCGCGCAGGCGGUCGUUCAAGUCGAGUGUGAAAGCCCCCGGCUCAACUGGGGAGGGUCAUUCGAUACUGAUCGACUCGAAGGCAGGAGAGGGUAGUGGAAUUCCCGGUGUAGUGGUGAAAUGCGUAGAUAUCGGGAGGAACACCAGUGGCGAAGGCGACUACCUGGCCUGUUCUUGACGCUGAGGCGCGAAAGCCAGGGGAGCGAACGGG